This 253-nucleotide ribosomal RNA is filed under the name uncultured bacterium. RNAcentral's name for it is "partial 16S ribosomal RNA". It matches the Rfam family "Bacterial small subunit ribosomal RNA", at positions 524 to 776 of the family's 1533-position model. The record is from RNAcentral.
UACGUAUGGUGCAAGCGUUAUCCGGAUUUACUGGGUGUAAAGGGAGCGCAGGCGGUUCUGCAAGUCUGAUGUGAAGGCCCGGGGCUCAACCGCGGGACUGCAUUGGAAACUGCGGGACUGGAGUGUCGGAGGGGUAAGCGGAAUUCCUGGUGUAGCGGUGAAAUGCGUAGAUAUCAGGAGGAACACCGGUGGCGAAGGCGGCUUACUGGACGAUGACUGACGCUGAGGCUCGAAAGCGUGGGGAGCAAACAGG